UACGGGGGGGGCAAGCGUUGUUCGGAAUUACUGGGCUUAAAGGGCUCGUAGGUGGCCAACUAAGUCAGACGUGAAAUCCCUCGGCUUAACCGGGGAACUGCGUCUGAUACUGGAUGGCUUGAGUUCGGGAGAGGGAUGCGGAAUUCCAGGUGUAGCGGUGAAAUGCGUAGAUAUCGGGAGGAACACCAGAGGCGAAGGCGGCGACCUGGAUAGGUACCGACACUAAACUACGAAAGCGUGGGGAGCAAACAGG
RNAcentral lists this ribosomal RNA (253 nucleotides) under uncultured bacterium. RNAcentral's name for it is "partial 16S ribosomal RNA". It matches the Rfam family "Bacterial small subunit ribosomal RNA", at positions 524 to 776 of the family's 1533-position model. The record is from RNAcentral.